CAUCCCCCCAUCCCCCACCGAUUCUGCCAUUCCCCCUCAGCGCUCUCCCUUUCUCCUUCCUUCUCUGUCUCUCUUCCCCUUUUUAUUUCUUCUCUUUCUUGCGCCAGAAUAAGAAGACGCCGACGGCCUCAACGGCUGAUAGAUCGGGAUUGGUGACAGCGGAGAAUCCCUGGGUCCCAUGUAGUUCAAGUAGGAGUGGGCGAGAAAGGAAAUUGAAACCAGAAGCUAUUCAUGGCCGCCAAUCCCAUUUCUCAUAGACGAGCAUUGGCACUCCUUAGACAGCAAUUCUCCAGCCCUACCCUCAACUCUCAGCGAGCUUCUCUUCUCAGGUGCCGUUCCUCUCAGAAAACCCAGAACCACAAAGACGAUGAACAACUGCAGAACAAUACCCAACGACCCAAAUUGUCAACCCCCAAAACCAAAAGGGCUAAGGAUAUGGCCAAGCUUAUCGACUCCAUGCCGUGGUCAACUGAGCUCGAAUCUUCUCUCUCUACAAUCGCUUCCUCUCUCUCCAAAACGACAGUGCACCAAACUCUCCACCUUAUCAAAGCCCCCAGCAAAGCCCUUCAAUUUUUCAAGUGGGCGGAGGUAAUGGGUUUCUCUCACAAUGACCAAUCCUACUUCUUGAUGCUUGAAAUCUUGGGUCGCAAUCGAAAUCUCAAUGCUGCUCGAAAUUUCUUGUUUUCGAUUGAAAAGAAGUCUAAUGGGGCAGUUAAGCUCGAGGACCGGUUCUUUAAUAGCUUGAUAAGGAACUACGGUCGAGCUGGGCUGUUCCAAGAAUCUAUAAAGCUUUUUAGUACAAUGAAGUCGAUUGGUGUUUCGCCUUCUGUUGUUUCGUUCAAUAGUCUGCUGUUGAUUUUGCUUAGAAAGGGGCGGACCAAUAUGGCCAAGAAUGUGUAUGAUGAAAUGGUUAGUAUGUAUGGAGCUACACCAGAUACUUGUACGUUUAAUACUUUGAUUAGAGGGUUUUGUAUGAACUCCAUGGUUGAUGAAGGUUUUCGCUUUUUCAAAGAAAUGUCGCGUUUCAAAUGUGAUCCAGAUGUCAUUACCUAUAAUACUCUUGUUGAUGGAUUGUGUAGAGCAGGGAAGGUUGGUAUUGCCCAUAAUGUGGUGAAGGGCAUGAGUAAGAGAAGUGCAGAUUUGAAUCCAAAUAUUGUUACUUAUACGACCUUGAUUAGAGGUUAUUGUAUGAAACAAGAGAUUGAUGAGGCUUUAUGUGUUUUGGAGGAGAUGACUAGCCAAGGGUUGAAACCAAAUGGAAUUACCUGCAAUACUCUAAUUAAGGGGCUUUGUGAAGCGCAUAAGCUAGAUAAGAUAAAAGACAUUUUGGAAGGAACAAUGAGCGGUGGAGAAUUUACUCCUGAUACUUGUACGUUUAACACACUGAUGCAUUCGCAUUGCAAUGCAGGAAACUUGGAUGAAGCAUUGAAGGUUUUUGCAAAGAUGUCAGAGCUAAAGGUCCCACCAGAUUCAGCUACAUACAGUGUUUUGAUACGCAGUUUGUGUCAACGAGGGGAUUACAGUAGAGCAGAGGAGUUGUUCGAUGAGCUAUCAAAGAAAGAAAUACUGUUAAGUGAUGACGGUUGUAAGCCUCUUGUUGCCUCUUAUAACCCUAUUUUUGAGUAUUUGUGUAGUAAGGGGAAAAUUAAAAAGGCCGAGGCAGUGUUUAGGCAGCUAAUGAGAAGAGGAACGCAAGACCCUGUGUCCUAUAAGACUUUGAUCAUGGGCCAUUGUAAGGAAGGUACAUUUGAAACCGGGUAUGAACUCCUAGUCUGGAUGCUUAGAAGGGAUUUUGUGCCUGAUGUCGAAAUUUAUGAAUCCUUGAUUGGUGGUCUCUUGCAGAAGGGUAAGGCCCUUCUUGCUCAACAGACGCUAGAGAAGAUGCUGAAAAGCUCUCAUCUCCCAAAAACGUGUACAUUCCAUUGUAUACUAGCAGAACUUUUAGAAAAGAAUUGUGCCCUAGAAUCUGCCAAUUGUGUUAUUUUAAUGCUGGAGAGAAAAAUUAGACAAAAUAUUAAUCUCUCAACACAUCUUGUAAGGCUACUUUUCAGCAGUGGGUUGCGUGACAAAGCAUUUGACAUUGUAGGGAUGCUCCAUAAGAAUGGAUACUCAAUUAAAAUGGAAGAAGUGGUUCAUUUUCUUUGCCAGAGAAGAAAGCUGUUAGACGCAUGCAAAAUGUUGCAAUUCAGUCUGCAGAAGCAUCAAAGUGUCAGUAUUGAUAUUUUCAACCAAGUCAUCGAAGGGCUUUGUAAUAUCAAUAAACCUUCAGAAGCAUUUGGCUUGUACUAUGAACUGGUUGAGAAUGCAGGCUAUCAGCAAUUUCCCUGCUUAGGAUCCUUAAAAUCUGCACUAGAGAUUGCAGGAAAAUCAGUUGAAGCUGAGUUUCUAUCUAAAGGGAUGCCAGGAGAGCAGUCGCUAGACAAAUCCCAUAGGUCGAGACCUCAACUAGGAGCAUGCUGAACAGAAUGAAUGUUAUUGUUCUCAAUAUAUGGAAUGGGCCAUCACAUGGUUGUAUAGUCUUGUGGAGUUUCCAGAAAAAUUCCUUCGCAUCGAAAGUUGUGUUCUUGGCAUGGUACACGAGUUAAACUGCUUAUCAAGCCCAUCGUUCUGAGUGGCUCGAAGAUUCUGGUGGAACAUUUUUGUUACUGCUAACUGGUGGGUUUUUAAGAUCAUCUCGAUCACGUCACAAACUUGUAAAUACACUUGUUACCACCCUCGUCCUAAAACAUCUUCUCAGCAUUCAGCUAACCAUUCUCUCUCAAUUUCAUCCAGACCCCCCGUCUCAACCAUCAGCUCACAUAGACAUAUACCGUCCAUCCACACUCCAAAUUGCAUUGAACAAAACUCAUGCCCAGUUAGAACUGCACCUGCUUGAAAAUAAAAACCCACGAACAGUUGGCCCCUCAACGGAAAGUGCAGUGCAUACAAAAUGGACAUGGCCAAGAAUUGUGGAGUGAAAUCACACAGAUUGAGAGGGUGAAGCAUGCCCUUGCUUUACUAACCAGAAAGCAGGCUGUAAGACCCAAUAUUCUUGGUGUUGCAUUACUUUGUAAAAUCUCUUUAAUCCGCCACCUUACGUUUGUCAGGAGAAACUCUUAAUCCUAUCUUUGUUACAGGUGGUUAAUAUAUUUCAACUUUGCAUUACCUUAUUAUAAGAUCUUAUUCGUGUGUGCCGUUGGACGAUUGGGCAAGUUCACCAUUUAAUCGCACACACAAUCCCACCCCCUUGUGUUUGGUGCUAAUGUACGAGUGUCUAGCUGGAUAGAUAAUUUGAUAAGCCAAUGAUUUUUUUUUCGUGUUUCAGAAUACGGUUAACCGUGUUAGGGACUGAAGAAUUUCUCACUUGUUAGGGGCACACGAAAAUGCUUUUUUCAGAUCAUUCUAUUUUGAUUGUCAAGGCUCUAACAAGAAGGUACCCAAUCCUUAACAGCUAGCCAAUGUCUGGAUGGCAAAAAACAAAAACAAAAAGGACAAAAUGCUCUUUACUAAUUGUAUUGUUUCACCCUUUUACCAAACAAAAGAAAAGUAAAAGAUUGUUCUGUUCCCCCCUUGGAACAGUCACAGAUAAAAUCACCAAACCACAAUAAAAUAGACAUCUCUUCUUUUCAUGCGACUCUCCCUUUGAAACCAACUCUUGUCCAACACCCACCAAAAUCUCCCCUCUUAUAUGCACAUUGCCUUUGAGCUCUCCCCAAACUCACAAAGCUUCCUUUUCUGAGCCUCCUCAUCCUCGUAAAAGAUAUCGAAAGUCAAGAGAAAGGGUACUAAUGGUUCUUCCGAGCAAUACCAUGCCCCAACUAGGUAUGCUCCUACACCGGGGAAGGCAACUGUCCUUGCAUUGGGCAAGGCUUUCCCGAGCCAACGCAUCCCACAGGAUUGCUUGGUCGAGGGCUACAUUGGUGACAUGAAAUGUGAAGACGUCCCCAUCAAGGAAAAACUGGAGCUCCUGUGCAAAACCACUACUUUGAAGACUGGAUACACAGUGAUGUCCAAGGAAAUCCUAGACAAAUACCCUGAGCUAGCAACAGAGGGCACAGCCACCAUCAAACAGCGCCUCGAAAUAGCAAACCCUGUGGUGGUUGAGAUGGCUUUGGAAGCCAGCCUUGCUUGCAUCAAGGAAUGGGGAAGGCCUGUUGAAGAUAUCAUUCACAUUGUCUACGUAUCCUCAAAUGAAAUCAGACUACCUGGCGGCGACCUAUAACUCUCAAGCAAGCUCGGCCUAAGGAACGACGUUGGCCGCGUCAUGCUCUACUUCCUAGGAUUUUACGGUGGUGUCACUGGCCUCCGCAUUUCCAAAGACAUAGCUGAAAACUACCCAGGAAGUUGCGUCUUGCUAACCACUUCCGAGACCACAAUCCUUGGUUUCUGGCCCCCCAACAAGGCGUGCCCUUACGACCUUGUAGGGGCAGCGCUAUUCGGGGACGGGGCUGCAGCUGUGAUCAUUGGUAGCAACCCAAUAGCAGGGCAAGAGUCUCCUUUCAUGGAGCUCAACUAUGCCGUCCAGCAGUUCCUCGCGGAGACACACAAUGUGAUCGACGGCAGGCUGUUCGAGGAAGGUAUUAACUUCAAGCUUGGGAGGGACCUGCCUCAGAAAAUCGACCAAAACAUAGAGGUGUUUUGCAAGAAGCUGGUUGUGGCGGCCAAUGCGGAGCUGAGGGACUUCAAUGAGCUGUUUUGGGCAGUGCACCCGGGCGGACCGGCAAUUCUGAACAAGCUGGAGAGCACGCUAAAGCGGAGCAGUGAUAAGCUUGAGAGCAGCAGGAGGGCAUUGAUGGACUAUGGGAAUGUGAGCAGCAACACCAUUUUUUAUGUGAUGGAAAAUAUGAGGGAGGAGUUGGAGUUGAAGUUGAAGAAAAAGGUGCGGAGGGAAGAGGAAUGUUGACUUGCCUUGGCAUUUGGACCUGGGAUCACGUUUGAAGGCAUUCUCCUUCGCAGCCUCUAGUGGUGUGAAAUGUCUCAAAAUGCUAGGAGUGUUGUGCAUGUUGAACGGGACACUACGGAUACAGAAAUAUGAUACGCUGUUAGAAUUUGGUUAAUGAAAUGGGGUUGUUUAAAUUUAAGUUAAUUUGGUCAUUUCAAUGAAAUGGGGUUGUUCGAAGUAUAAUGAA
Molecule: non-coding RNA, 5108 nt
Organism: Malus domestica (apple)
Lineage: Eukaryota; Viridiplantae; Streptophyta; Magnoliopsida; Rosales; Rosaceae
Source: RefSeq, a predicted model, not a curated record